This 253-nucleotide ribosomal RNA is filed under the name uncultured bacterium. RNAcentral describes it as "partial 16S ribosomal RNA". It matches the Rfam family "Bacterial small subunit ribosomal RNA", at positions 524 to 776 of the family's 1533-position model. The record is from RNAcentral.
UACGUAGGGGGCAAGCGUUGUCCGGAAUCAUUGGGCGUAAAGCGCGUGUAGGCGGCCCGAUAAGUCCGCUGUGAAAGUCCAGGGCUCAACCCUGGAAUGCCGGUGGAUACUGUCGGGCUCGAGUCCGGAAGAGGCGAGUGGAAUUCCUGGUGUAGCGGUGAAAUGCGCAGAUAUCAGGAGGAACACCAAUGGCGAAGGCAGCUCGCUGGGACGGUACUGACGCUGAGACGCGAAAGCGUGGGGAGCAAACGGG